RNAcentral lists this ribosomal RNA (682 nucleotides) under Rhizophora mucronata. Its description in RNAcentral is "eukaryotic LSU rRNA". The stretch from base 283 to 438 matches the Rfam family "5.8S ribosomal RNA". Lineage: Eukaryota; Viridiplantae; Streptophyta; Magnoliopsida; Malpighiales; Rhizophoraceae. The record is from RNAcentral.
UUUCCGUAGGUGAACCUGCGGAAGGAUCAUUGUCGAAAGCUCUGCCCAGCAGAACGACCCGCGAACACGUUUCACCACGCGGCGCCGGGCGAUCGGCGGUCCACGGGCCGUCGCGCGCCCCGUCUGCCGAGGGGGCGAUCGCACGUCGGUCCUCCCACGGCGCAAACAACCAAACCCCGGCGCAAGUCGCGCCAAGGAAAUCAAAGAUCGAAAGGCAGCGCCCCGUCGCCCCGGGAACGGCGCGCGGGCGAGGCGCUGCGACUCCACGAUGAGAAUCUCAACGACUCUCGGCAACGGAUAUCUCGGCUCUCGCAUCGAUGAAGAACGUAGCGAAAUGCGAUACUUGGUGUGAAUUGCAGAAUCCCGCGAACCAUCGAGUCUUUGAACGCAAGUUGCGCCCGAAGCGACCCCGCUGAGGGCACGUCUGCCUGGGUGUCACACAACAUCGCCCACCCCACCUCCGAACCCUCGGGGGCGCGGUCGGUGGCGGAAGAUGGCCUCCCGUGAGCACGGCCUCGCGGUUGGCCCAAAAACCAAGUCCCCGACGACGUUCGCCUCGACAACGGUGGCUGAGCGACCCUCGCACAGUGUCGCGCGGCGCGUCGUCGCCCCGGACCCGGAAGAACCCAACCCUAUCUCGCAACGCGACCCCAGGUCAGGCGAGACUACCCGCUGAGUUUAA